UACGGGGGGGGCAAGCGUUGUUCGGAAUUACUGGGCGUAAAGGGCUCGUAGGCGGCCAACUAAGUCGGACGUGAAAUCCCAGGCUCAACCUGGGAACUGCGUCCGAUACUGGAUGGCUUGAAUUCGGGAGAGGGAUGCAGAAUUCCAGGUGUAGCGGUGAAAUGCGCAGAUAUCUGGAGGAAUACCGGUGGCGAAGGCGGCAUCCUGGACCGACAUUGACGCUGAGGAGCGAAAGCUAGGGGAGCAAACGGGG
RNAcentral lists this ribosomal RNA (253 nucleotides) under uncultured bacterium. Its description in RNAcentral is "partial 16S ribosomal RNA". It matches the Rfam family "Bacterial small subunit ribosomal RNA", at positions 524 to 777 of the family's 1533-position model. The record is from RNAcentral.